This 99-nucleotide signal recognition particle RNA is filed under the name pig gut metagenome. Its description in RNAcentral is "Bacteroidales small SRP". It matches the Rfam family "Bacteroidales small SRP", at positions 8 to 103 of the family's 107-position model. Rfam says of the family: The non-coding component of the signal recognition particle in Bacteroides The record is from RNAcentral.
GCCGGAUGAGUGCCUUACGGCAUGCUCCUUCUAAUCCCCCAGGGCUUGACCGCAGCAAGGGUAUGAGGUUGUAGCGGCGCGAUAAGGAGAGCUCAUCCU